GAGUAAGUUACUAAGGGCGCACAGGGGAUGCCUUGGCUCUCGGAGGCGACGAAGGACGUGAUAAGCUGCGAUAAGCCGCGGGGAGGUGCAAAUGACCUUCGAUCCGCGGAUUUCCGAAUGGGGCAACCCACCCCGGGUUACACCGGGGUAUCCACAAAGUGGAGGCGAACGCGGGGAACUGAAACAUCUAAGUACCCGCAGGAGAAGAAAAUAACAAUGAUUCCCCAAGUAGUGGCGAGCGAACGGGGAGAAGCCUAAACCGGUCUUGUUACGGCAAGUCCGGGGUUGUAGGACCGCGAAGUCUGCGAAGCAUUUUAACGGGAAGCGCAUGGGAAGGCGCACCGGAGGGGGUGAUAGUCCCGUACCGGCACGAAUGUUAGCGGUAGCGGUAUCCUGAGUAGGGCGGGACCGGAGAAAUCCUGUCUGAAUCCGGCGGCACCAUCCGCCAAGGCUAAAUACUACCGAGAGACCGAUAGCGAACGAGUACCGUGAGGGAAAGGUGAAAAGUACUUCGAACAGAAGAGUGAAAUAGAACCUGAAACUGUGCGCUUACAAGCGGUCGGAGCCCCUUCGAGGGGUGACGGCGUGCCUUUUGCAUAAUGAGCCUACGAGUUACUGAACUUAGCGAGAUUAACCGCCUCGGGCGGGGAAUCGAAGCGAAAGCGAGUCUGAACAGGGCGACGAGUUAGGUUAAGUAGACGCGAAACUUAGUGAUCUACGCAUGGCCAGGCUGAAGUAACGAUAACACGUUAUGGAGGGCCGAACCGGUAAACGUUGAAAAGUUUUCGGAUGAGCUGUGCGUAGGGGUGAAAGGCUAAUCAAACUGAGAGAUAGCUCGUACUCUCCGAAAUGCCUUUAGGGGCAGCCUCGGUUAGGUAUGUCAGAGGUAAAGCUACUGAUAGGAUGCGGGGGUUUCACCGCCUACCAAUUCCUGACAAACUCUGAAUGCUGGCAUAUUAAUUUCCGGGAGUGAGGCUAUGGGUGCUAAGGUCCAUGGCCGAGAGGGGAAUAACCCAGACCAUCAGUUAAGGUCCCCAAAUGCCGGUUAAGUUACGGAAACGAUGUCGUGCCGCACAGACAGCUAGGAUGUUGGCUUGGAAGCAGCCAUUCAUUUAAAGAGUGCGUAACAGCUCACUAGUCGAGUGGCGCGGCGUGGAUAAUAAUCGGGUAUCAAACCGGCUACCGAAACUGUGGAAUCCCGAUCGUAUCGGGAUUGGUAGGAGAGCAUUCCAACGCCGGCGAAGGCUCCGCGCGAGCGGUACUGGAGGUUUUGGAAGAGCAAAUGUAGGCAUAAGUAACGAUAAUGCGGGUGGGAACCCCGCACACCGAAAGACUAAGGUUUCCCGGUCAACGCUAAUCGGAUCGGGGUAAGUCGGGGCCUAAGGGGUAGCCGGUCAAACAGGCGGACCCGAUGGACAACCGGUUAAUAUUCCGGUACCGGCUGCAGGAGUGAAGCGGUGACACAGGAGUGAAAGGUCCGCGCGCUGACGGAAUAGCGCGUUGAAGGGCGUAGAUAGAUCAGGGGAGGCAAAUCCCCCCUGUUAUUCGACCCCGACAGUACCGCGAGCCUUCGGGUGAGCGGAUAGCGGCCGUAAUCAGACUGUCAAGAAAACCCGCUAAACUUAUCCUGCGGUCGCCCGUACCGCAAACCGACACAGGUAGUCGAGAAGAGAAUUCUAAGGUGCUCGAGUGAUUCAUGGCUAAGGAACUAGGCAAAAUCGUCCUGUAACUUCGGGAUAAAGGACCCCUCGCGAGAGGGCGCAGAGAAUCGGCCCAGGCGACUGUUUAUCAAAAACACAUGGCUUUGCGAAAUCGAAAGAUGAGGUAUAAGGCCUGACACCUGCCCGGUGCCGGAAGGUUAAGAGGAGACGUCAUCCCGACUUGUCGGGAGAAGCGUUGAAUUGAAGCCCCGGUAAACGGCGGCCGUAACUAUAACGGUCCUAAGGUAGCGAAAUUCCUUGUCGGGUAAGUUCCGACCUGCACGAAUGGUGUAACGAUCUGGGCGCUGUCUCAGCCAUGAGCUCGGUGAAAUUGUAGUUCCGGUGAAGAUGCCGGAUACCCGCAACGGGACGGAAAGACCCCGUGAACCUUCACUACAGCUUAACAUUGGUUUUGGAUAUAUGAUGUGUAGGAUAGGUGGGAGGCUGCGAAGCAGGCACGCCAGUGCUUGUGGAGCCAACCUUGAAAUACCACCCUUUAUCUAUUUGAAACCUAACUCCCCCGCGGGGAGGACCAUGUUUGGCGGGUAGUUUGACUGGGGUGGUCGCCUCCAAAAGAGUAACGGAGGCUUUCAAAGGUACCCUCAGCACGCUUGGUAACCGUGCGUUGAGUGCAAUAGCAAAAGGGUGCUUGACUGCGAGACAGACAAGUCGACCAGGUAGGAAACUAGGAUAUAGUGAUCCGGUGGUUCCGUAUGGAAGGGCCAUCGCUCAAAGGAUAAAAGGUACUCCGGGGAUAACAGGCUGAUCACUCCCAAGAGCUCACAUCGACGGAGUGGUUUGGCACCUCGAUGUCGGCUCGUCACAUCCUGGGGCUGGAGAAGGUCCCAAGGGUUCGGCUGUUCGCCGAUUAAAGUGGCACGCGAGCUGGGUUCAGAACGUCGCGAGACAGUUCGGUCCCUAUCUGUUGUGGGCGUAGAAGCUUGAGAGGACCUGGCUCUAGUACGAGAGGACCGAGCUGGACGAACCUCUGGUGUACCUGUUGUGGCGCCAGCCGCACCGCAGGGUAGCCAAGUUCGGACGAGAUAAGUGCUGAAAGCAUCUAAGUACGAAACUCGCCUCAAGAUGAGGCUUCAUUUGAGGGACGUUAUAGACGAUGACGUCGAUAGGCCGCAGAUGUAAAGCCAGCGAUGGCAAAGUCGAGCGGUACUAAUCACCCGAUACUUGCUCAA
RNAcentral lists this ribosomal RNA (2890 nucleotides) under Bacteroidales bacterium OttesenSCG-928-E04. RNAcentral describes it as "23S ribosomal RNA". It matches the Rfam family "Bacterial large subunit ribosomal RNA". Lineage: Bacteria; Pseudomonadati; Bacteroidota; Bacteroidia; Bacteroidales. The record is from RNAcentral. RNAcentral also lists the same sequence under 2 other names.